GACGAACGCUGGCGGCGUGCUUAACACAUGCAAGUCGAACGGAAAGGCCCUGCUUUUGUGGGGUGCUCGAGUGGCGAACGGGUGAGUAACACGUGAGUAACCUGCCCUUGACUUUGGGAUAACUUCAGGAAACUGGGGCUAAUACCGGAUAGGAGCUCCUGCUGCAUGGUGGGGGUUGGAAAGUUUCGGCGGUGGGGGAUGGACUCGCGGCUUAUCAGCUUGUUGGUGGGGUAGUGGCUGACAAGGGCUUUGACGGGUAGCCGGCCUGAGAGGGUGACCGGCCACAAUGGGACUGAGAUACGGCCCAGACGCCUACGGGAGGCAGCAGUGGAGAAUAUGGCACAAUGGGCGGAAGCCUGAGGCAGCGGCGCCGCGUGCGGGAUGACGGCCUUCGAGUUGUAAACCGAUUUCGACUGUGACGAAGCGUGAGUGACGGUAAUGAGUAAAGAAGCACCGGCUAACUACGUG
RNAcentral lists this ribosomal RNA (468 nucleotides) under uncultured bacterium. RNAcentral describes it as "partial 16S ribosomal RNA". It matches the Rfam family "Bacterial small subunit ribosomal RNA", at positions 28 to 507 of the family's 1533-position model. The record is from RNAcentral.